This 433-nucleotide ribosomal RNA is filed under the name uncultured bacterium. Its description in RNAcentral is "partial 16S ribosomal RNA". It matches the Rfam family "Bacterial small subunit ribosomal RNA", at positions 29 to 507 of the family's 1533-position model. The record is from RNAcentral.
AACGAACGCUGGCGGCAUGCCUAACACAUGCAAGUCGAACGAGACCUUCGGGUCUAGUGGCGAACGGGUGCGUAACGCGUGGGAACCUGCCCUUAGGUUCGGAAUAACUCCCCGAAAGGGGUGCUAAUACCGGAUAAUGUCUUCGGACCAAAGAUUUAUCGCCUUUGGAUGGGCCCGCGUUGGAUUAGCUAGUUGGUAGGGUAAAAGCCUACCAAGGCGACGAUUCAUAGCUGGUCUGAGAGGAUGAUCAGCCACACUGGGACUGAGACACGGCCCAGACUCCUACGGGAGGCAGCAGUGGGGAAUAUUGGACAAUGGGCGAAAGCCUGAUCCAGCAAUGCCGCGUGAGUGAUGAAGGCCUUAGGGUUGUAAAGCUCUUUUACCCGGGAUGAUAAUGACAGUACCGGGAGAAUAAGCUCCGGCUAACUCCGUG